AGAGUUUGAUCCUGGCUCAGAUUGAACGCUGGCGGCAUGCCUUACACAUGCAAUUAGAGUUUGAUCCUGGCUCAGAACGAACGCUGGCGGCAGGCUUAACACAUGCAAGUCGAGCGCCCCGCAAGGGGAGCGGCAGACGGGUGAGUAACGCGUGGGAAUCUUCCGAGCCCCUGCGGAAUAGCUCCGGGAAACUGGAAUUAAUACCGCAUACGCCCUACGGGGGAAAGAUUUAUCGGGGUUUGAUGAGCCCGCGUUGGAUUACCUAGUUGGUGGGGUAAAGGCCUACCAAGGGGACGACCCAUACCUGGUUGAGAGGAUGAUCACCCACAUUGGGAGCUGAGACACGGCCCAAACUCCUACGGAGGCAGCAGUGGGGAAUAUUGGACAAUGGGCGCAAGCAUGAUCCAGCCAUGCCGCGUGAGUGAUGAAGGCCCUAGGGUUGUAAAGCUCUCUCAACGGUGAAGAUAAUGACGGAACCGAGAAAA
Molecule: ribosomal RNA, 485 nt
Filed under: alpha proteobacterium iMCII27
Lineage: Bacteria; Pseudomonadati; Pseudomonadota; Alphaproteobacteria
Description: bacterial SSU rRNA
Rfam family: Bacterial small subunit ribosomal RNA
Source: RNAcentral